This 433-nucleotide ribosomal RNA is filed under the name uncultured bacterium. RNAcentral's name for it is "bacterial SSU rRNA". It matches the Rfam family "Bacterial small subunit ribosomal RNA", at positions 355 to 786 of the family's 1533-position model. The record is from RNAcentral.
UGAGGAAUAUUGGUCAAUGGGCGGGAGCCUGAGCCAGCCAAGCCGCGUGAGGGAAGAAGGCCCUAUGGGUCGUAAACCUCUUUUGUCAGGGAACAAAAGCGAGUAUGUAUACUAGUCUGAGUGUACCUGAAGAAAAAGCAUCGGCUAACUCCGUGCCAGCAGCCGCGGUAAUACGGAGGAUGCGAGCGUUAUCCGGAUUUAUUGGGUUUAAAGGGUGCGUAGGCGGCGGUGCAAGUCAGCGGUAAAAGCCCGGGGCUCAACCCCGGCGAGCCGUUGAAACUGCAGUGCUAGAGAAGGCGAGAGGUACGCGGAAUGCGCAGUGUAGCGGUGAAAUGCUUAGAUAUUGCGCAGAACUCCGAUUGCGAAGGCAGCGUACUGGCGCCUGACUGACGCUGAGGCACGAAAGCGUGGGGAUCGAACAGGAUUAGAUACC